GGGGAAUUUUGGACAAUGGGCGCAAGCCUGAUCCAGCCAUGCCGCGUGUCUGAAGAAGGCCUUCGGGUUGUAAAGGACUUUUGUCAGGGAAGAAAAGGCUGUUGCUAAUAUCGACAGCUGAUGACGGUACCUGAAGAAUAAGCACCGGCUAACUACGUGCCAGCAGCCGCGGUAAUACGUAGGGUGCGAGCGUUAAUCGGAAUUACUGGGCGUAAAGCGAGCGCAGACGGUUACUUAAGCAGGAUGUGAAAUCCCCGGGCUCAACCUGGGAACUGCGUUCUGAACUGGGUGACUAGAGUGUGUCAGAGGGAGGUAGAAUUCCACGUGUAGCAGUGAAAUGCGUAGAGAUGUGGAGGAAUACCGAUGGCGAAGGCAGCCUCCUGGGAUAACACUGACGUUCAUGCUCGAAAGCGUGGGUAGCAAACAGGAUUAGAUACCCUGGUAGUCCACGCCCUAAACGAUGUCAAUUAGCUGUUGGGCAACUUGAUUGUUCAGUAGCGUAGCUAACGCGUGAAAUUGACCGCCUGGGGAGUACGGUCGCAAGAUUA
RNAcentral lists this ribosomal RNA (548 nucleotides) under uncultured bacterium. RNAcentral's name for it is "bacterial SSU rRNA". It matches the Rfam family "Bacterial small subunit ribosomal RNA", at positions 356 to 896 of the family's 1533-position model. The record is from RNAcentral.